RNAcentral lists this ribosomal RNA (497 nucleotides) under uncultured bacterium. RNAcentral describes it as "partial 16S ribosomal RNA". It matches the Rfam family "Bacterial small subunit ribosomal RNA", at positions 28 to 507 of the family's 1533-position model. The record is from RNAcentral.
GAUGAACGCUGGCGGCGUGCCUAAUACAUGCAAGUCGAGCUAACAGACGAGGAGCUUGCUCCUCUGACGUUAGCGGCGGACGGGUGAGUAACACGUGGAUAACCUACCUAUAAGACUGGGAUAACUUCGGGAAACCGGAGCUAAUACCGGAUAAUAUAUUGAACCGCAUGGUUCAAUAGUGAAAGACGGUUUUGCUGUCACUUAUAGAUGGAUCCGCGCUGCAUUAGCUAGUUGGUAAGGUAACGGCUUACCAAGGCAACGAUGCGUAGCCGACCUGAGAGGGUGAUCGGCCACACUGGAACUGAGACACGGUCCAGACUCCUACGGGAGGCAGCAGUAGGGAAUCUUCCGCAAUGGGCGAAAGCCUGACGGAGCAACGCCGCGUGAGUGAUGAAGGUCUUCGGAUCGUAAAACUCUGUUAUUAGGGAAGAACAAAUGUGUAAGUAACUAUGCACAUCUUGACGGUACCUAAUCAGAAAGCCACGGCUAACUACGUG